Molecule: long non-coding RNA, 18149 nt
Filed under: Manihot esculenta (cassava)
Lineage: Eukaryota; Viridiplantae; Streptophyta; Magnoliopsida; Malpighiales; Euphorbiaceae
Description: long non-coding RNA (MESC_LNC012219)
Source: RNAcentral
UAUAUAUAUAUUUUGAAUAUUGGUAUUUAGUUUCUUAAUAAGAUUGUGCAAAGUAUAGCUAUGAAAAUAUGAAAAUUUAAUUGUUUAUGUUUCCUUAGUUAUUUACUGGAUUCUAGAUAUAACCCUUAUUCCUCCAAUAGAUUAUUGAAAAAAUGAAUAAAAUUAUUUUUGAAUAGCAUAGUGUGAUAAUGUGGUUGAUUAUUAGCAAGAAUAAAUUAUGUUAGUAUAAACUUUAUGUUAUUAUCUAUUGUUAAGAGCUAUGUGGACCUGAUCCUCUAUUGGAGGUACGUAGGCAGCCUUCGGGUGCGUUCCAAAGAUAAUAAAUGUUAAGACUUUAAUUAGCAAAUAGUUAUGUAAAUUCAAGCCAUAUUAACAUAUUUUCACUUAUUGGAAAUUUAAUAAGUUUAAAAUGACUAAAAUAAUUAACAUACAAAUAAUUAUAUUUAUAAGAUUAUAGAUAAAAAUUAAGCCACAAAAGAAAUCACUGAAUUAGCUAGGACAUAGGAGAACAAUUUUCAUAAAGAGACCAUGAGUGAAUUAGACCCUUAAUAUUGCCAAAACUUGACUAUAACUUAGGACAGAAGCAUACAGAAGUACCUAAAAUGAAUAACUUGGAAAGCUUGUCAAAGGAACGAAAAUUGGCAUGCGAAUAGGUGCAAUUUGUGAUAUAAAACAGCAAUUGAAAGGCAGUGUCACAGUCUGCAUAUAAAACGUAAGUUGGCAUUUGAAAGGCAGUGUCACAGUCUGCAUAUAAAACGUAAGUUGGCAUUUGAAAGGCAGUGUCACAGUCUGCAUAUAAAACGUAAGUUGGCAUUUGAAAGGCAGUGUCGUAGUUUAGUUAUAAGGCAUAGACGAAGUGUCGCACCUAUCCCAAAUCCUCAUUCACUAGCAAACUAAAUGAAAUUGUUGCUUGAACAAAUAAAGAAUAAUGGCAUAAAAAUCCAACAUUUUAUUUCUUGGCACAAUAAAUUAGGAUUUAAAAAUAUUUGGCGAUUCUUUCCAAAUUUGAAUUGAAAGUGGGGGAGCAUCUGUCGGUAGUAGGCCAUAUUGUAUUUUUUUAUUACUUGAUGCUGGACUCUACGCUACACCUUGGAUAACCAAGGCGAGGUAUUAAUACUUGGUUAAUUAAGGUAAAAUUCUUAAAUGGUGUAGAAAAACCUAAAACGCUCUCAUCGACGCCAUUGCUCGCUGCCGAAUUUAUUUUCCCAACUUCGUCUUUCGCACAAAAAGUUAGCCUUCUCGCUUCACCACCAUUUUGGCCUCAGAAAAGGAGAUAUUGCCUUCGUACUUUCUCCUAACUCUAUUCACCUUUCGAUCCUUUAUUUCUAUAUCUUCUCUCUCGGUGUCGUUACCUCUCCUAAAAAAUCAAUUAUCUUUAAACUUGAGAUUCUCCACCAAAUUCAGCUGUUGAAACCUGUACUUGUGUUCGUCACGUCGAAUGCUGCUCAUAUAAUUCCUAAUCUCAAAACAAUCGUACUCGACUCUCCCGAGUUUGAAUCGCUGAUGAUGAGUGUAGCUCACGGUGGAGAAAUGGAAGGAGGGAAGGUUUACCAAUUGGACCCUGGGACAAUUCUCUAUCCUCACGGACUACUAGUCGAGUUAAUGGAUUGGUUUUGGCUCAUUGAAAUUUCAGAUGCAUGGUGGCCCUAAGUUAUGCGGUUUACACAAGCUGGAUGGCAGCUGCAACUUUAUUUUUUUUCGUUGCCUUAUUUUCAUGUUUAUAGUUUAUGUUAUUUCGUGAGAGGUUUAACUAUGGGAGUGGCGGUGGUGUCCAUAGGUAGAUUUGAUAUGAAGAUAGUGUUGAUAGUAAUUCAGGAGUGUAAGAUAGACUGCACCGGCGGUCGUGCUGAUAACUAAGGAUCCUAGGUUGUUAGACGGCUAAGAUUUUAGCUCUCUAGAUGUUGCAGGUUGCAGCGUUGCUUCGCUUAGGAAAAGCGUAGUUGAACUGUUCCGUGAACAAUUUCCAAAUUUGACUUUAAGUCAGGGUAGUUAAACACCAAACUUGGAUUUUUACCAUUAACCGGUGGUUAAUUUCUCAUAUUGGUUAUUCAAUGUGUAGCGUAUGAUCCACCAUUAAGUAACUAAAAAAUACAGAUGGAACGUCACGUUAGCUACCGGCAAAUGCUCCCCCGCUUUCAUUUCAAAUUUGAAUUCAAUUACUAAAUGUUUUUAAAUCCUAACUUAUUGUACCAAGUAAAAUCAUUUUAAUUAAAAUGCAAAAAUUCAUAAAGGUUUAAAUUUUUUAUGUCAUUAUCCAAAAAUAUAUUAAAUGUCAAGAAAUACAUGAUAAUAGUUACUUGACAAAAUGAGAGAAGCACCACGGUACUUCUCCAUUUCGGUUAGUUAAAUAACUUUAUAGGGGUGUUAGAGUUAGUGGUAUUAGAGCUAACGUUUAGGCUUUUCUAGGUGUUAAGGAGAAGAAACAAGCCUUAUAAAUUAAGGUCUGGAUAUAACUCUACUAUAGGCUUUUGUAAGUUGGCUAAGAAUGUUAUUUGACAUUCAACACGUGUUAGAAGAUAGAGGUGAUAAUCUAAAGUCGUGAUCGCGAUAAUCUAUCCAAUGCUACAAAUGUUUGUAUUGUAAGCUGCAGAUUACAUUAUGGACAUUGGAGCAUUGAGUGGAAAUUGUGUGCAUCACUUUUAAGAAUCUGCUAGGAUAUAAUAGAUGCCUUAUAUCUGAUGCAGUUGUACCAUGACAGGUUUCUAACUGCUAUGAAUUGACUUCAAAUAAAAGUUUAUAUCCUUUUAGAAUAAAAUACUAGAGAUAUUAGCAAUAAGGUAUAGAAAAAUUCUAUGAGAGCUACAAUGUACUCAAAAAACAUAAUUGUUUUUGUGUUGUUUAUCAUUAAAAAGAGGAAUUUUAUAAAUAUUAUGACAUAAGAGAAAUGAAAAAACGGAGAGGUAUGAGUAGGUGAAAUAGGCUAGAACAUGUUAGUGACCAAUUUUCUUGUUCACUUUUUACUGUGAUGAUUGUUUGAUAUCAAAACAUAGUCUUAUCCUUUGAGAGAAAUAAAUUUGAAUUAUCAUAAUAAUAUAUUCAAGAGUUUUAAAGAAAGUUUAAUUAUCUAAACAUUAUGUAAGAGGGGAUUGAAGAUACAAGGAGAAUACGCACAUAAAAUAAGUGAUAGUUAUGAGAUGGUAGGUGUGAUUAAGGGGUUAAUUUAUCUCAUUAAUGACAUAUUAGUUACUCUAGCUAGGAAAAAAAUAAGAAAGAUUGUAGAGUCUAUCCAACUUUUAAGAACAUGACAUAGCUACUGUAUGAUUUCGUAAUGUACUUUUUGAUAAAUAUUUCGAUUCAUCAUUUGGAAGUGGAUAGGGUUGCCUUUAAGAUUAUAUUGAAGGUCUAUGUUGGAAAACCGAAGUAAUCACUGCAAAAGUUUAUUCUGUUUCCCUUUUUAGAAGCAUUAUUACAUUUGAUAAGAUUAGAUAAAUUAUUUUGGCGGAAUUGAUAUUAUUUGAGAUAAUAUUGUUGUUUAUUGGAAGUUUACUUUUUAUCUAUAUUGGUGAUAUAGUUAGAUUUUAAACACUUUAAUCGGUAUAAGUAAUUAUUAUUGAUAGGUUAUAUUGAUACCUGUUUAUAUAUAAAUGUGUAUAUAUAUAUAUAUGUUUUGAAUAUUGGUAUUUAGUUUCUUAAAUGGAUUGUGCAAAGUUAGCUAUAAAACUAUAAUUAUUUAUGUUUCCUUAGUUAUUUCCUGGAUUCUCGAUAUAACCCUUAUUCCUCCAAUAGAUUAUUGAACAAAUGAAUAAGAUUAUUUUUGUAUAGCAUAGCGUGAUAUUGUGGUUGAUUAUUAGCAAGAAUAAAUUAUAUUAGUAUAAACUUUAUGUUAUUAUCUAUUGUUAAGAGCUACGUGGACCUGAUCCUCUAUUGGAGGUACGUAGGCAGCCUUCGGGUGCGGUCGAAAUAUAAUAUAUAUUAAGACUUUAAUUAGCAAAUAGUAGCGAUGUAAAUUCAAGCCAUAUUAACAGAUUUUCAUGUUGAAUAAAUUACUUAUUGGAAAUUUAAUGAGUUUAAUAUGACUAAAAUAAUUAACAUACAAAUAAUUAUAUUUAUAAGAUUAUAGAUAAAAAUAAGCCACAAAAGAAAUCACUGAAUUAGCUAAGAUAUAGGAGAACAAUUUUGAUAAAGAGACCAUGAGUGAAUUAGACCAUUAAUAUUGCCAAAACCUGACUAUAACAUAGGAUAGAAGUAUACAGAAGUACCUAAAAUGAAUAACUUGGAAAGCUUGUCAAAGGAAUGAAAAUUGACAUGCGAAUAGGUGCAAUUUGUGAUAAAAAACAGCAAUUGAAAGGCAGUGUCACAGUCUAGAUACAAAACGUAAGUUGGCAAUUGAAAGGCAGUGUCGUAGUUCAGUUAUAAGGCAUAGACGAAGUGUCGCACCUAUCCCAAAUCCUCAUUCACUAGCAGACUAAAUGAAAUUAUUUCUUGAAAAAAUAAAGAAUAAUGGCAUAAAAAUCGAAAAUUUUAUUUCUUGGCACAAUAAAUUAGGAUUUAAAAAUAUUUGGCAAUUCUUUCCAAAUUUAAAUUGAAAGUGGGGGAGCAUUUGUCGGUAGCAGGCCAUAUUGUAUUUUUAUAUUACUCGAUGCUGGACUCUACGCUACACCUUGGAUAACCAAGGCGAGGUAUUAAUCGUUGGUUAAUUAAGGUAAAAUUCUUAAAUGGUGUAGAAAAACCUAAAACGCUCUCAUCGACGCCGUCGCUCGCUGCCGAAUUUAUUUUCCCCACUUCAUCCUUCGCACAAAAAGUUGGCCUUCUCGCUUUGCCACCAUUUUGGCCUCAGAAAAGGAGAUAUUGCCUUCGUGCUUUCUCCUAACUCUAUUCACCUUUCGGUCCUUUAUUUCUAUAUCUUCUCUCUCGGUGUCGUUACCUCUCCUAAAAAAUUAAUUAUCUUUAAACUUGUGAUUCUCCACCAAAUUCAGCUGUCGAAACCUGUACUUGUGUUCGUCACGUCGAAUGCUGCUCAUACAAUUCCUAAUCUCAAAACAUUCGUACUCGACUCUCCCGAGUUUGAAUCGCUGAUGAUGAGUCUAGCUCACUGUGGAGAAAUAGGAGGGAAGGUUUACCAAUUGGACCCUGGGACAAUUCUCUAUCCUCACGGACUACUGGUCGAGUUAAUGGAGUGGUUUUGGCUCAUCGAAAUUUCAGAUGCAUGGUGGCCCUAAGUCAUGCGGUUUACACGAGGUAGAUGGCAACUGCAACUUUCUUUUUUUCGUUGCCUUAUGUUCAUGUUCAUGGUUUAUGUUAUUUCGUGAGAGCUUUAACUAUGGGAGUGGCGGUGGUGCCCUAAGACAAUGCUGACAGUAAUUCAGGAGUGUAAGAUAGACUGCACCGGCGGUGGUGCUGAUAACUAAGGAUCCUAGGUUGUUAGACGGCUAAGAUUUUAGCUCUCUAGAUGUUGCAGGUUGCAGCGUUGCUUCGCUUAGAAAAAGCGUAGUUGAACUAUUCCGUGAGCAAUUUUGAAAUUUGACUUUAAGUCAGGUUAGUUAAUCACCAAAGUUAGAUUUUUACUAUUAACCGAUGGUUAAUUUCUCAUAUUGGUUAUUCAAUGUGUAGCGUAUGAUCCACCAUUAAGUAAUAAAAAAAUGCAGAUGGAACUUCACGUUAGCUACUGGCAAAUGCUCCCCCACUUUCAUUUCAAAUUUGAAUUGAAUCGCUAAAUGUUUUUAAAUCCUAACUUAUUGUACCAAGUAAAAUCAUAUUAAUUAAAAUGCAACAAUUCAUAAAGGUUUAAAUUUUUUAUGCCAUUAUCCAAAAAUAUAUUAAAUGUCAUGAAAUACAUGAUAGUAGUUAAUUGACAAAAUGAGAGAAGCACCAUGGUGCUUCUCCAUUUCAGUUAGUUAAAUAACCUUAUAGGGGUGUUGGAGUUAGUGGUAUUAGAGCAAAUGUGUAUACCUUAUAGGUUCAGGUCUGGAUAUAACUCUACUAUAGGCUUUUGUAAGUUGGCUAAGAAUGUUUUUUGACAUUCAACAUGUGCUAGAAGAUAGAGGUGAUAAUCUAAAGUCGUGAUCGCGAUAAUCUAUUCAAUGCUACAAACGUUUGUAUUGUAAGCUGCAGAUUGCAUUAUGGAAAUUGUAGCUUUGAGUGGAAAUUGUGUGCAUCACUUUUAAGAAUCUGCUAGGAUAUAGUAGAUGCCUUGUAUCUGAUGCAGUUGUACCAUGACAAGUUUCUAACUGCUAUGAUAUGACUUCAAAUAAAAGUUUAUAUCCUUUUAGAAUAAAAUACUAGAGAUAUUAGCAAUACGGUAUAGAAAAAUUCUAUGAGAGCGACAAUGUACUCAAAAAACAUAAUUGUUUUUGUGUUGUUUAUCAUUAAAAAGAGGAAUUUUAUAAAUAUUAUGACAUAAGAGAAAUGAAAAAACCGAGAGGUAUGAGUAGGUGAAAUAGGCUAGAAUAUGUUAGUGACCAAUUUUCUUGUUCACUUUUUACUGUGAUGAUUGUUUGAUAUCGAAACAUAGUCUUAACCUUUGAGAGAAAUAAAUUUGAAUUAUCAUAAUAACAUAUUCAAGAGUUUUAAAGAAAGUUUAAUUAUCUAAACAUUAUGUAAGAGGGGAUUGAAGAUACAAGGAGAAUACGCACAUAAAAUAAGUGAUAGUUAUGAGAUGGUAGGUGUGAUUAAGGGGUUAAUUUAUCUCAUUAAUGACAUAUUAGUUACUCUAGCUAGGAAAAAAAUAAGGAAGAUUGUAGAGUCUAUCCAACUUUUAAGAACAUGACAUAAAUAGUGUAUGAAUUACUAAUGUACUUUUUGAUAAAUAUUUCGAUUCAUCACUUGGAAGUGGAUAGAGUUGCCUUUAAGAUUAUAUUGAAGGUCUAUGUUGGAAAACCGAAUUAAUCACUGCAAUAGUUUAUUCUUUUUUCCUUUUUGGAAGUAUUUUAAUAUUUGAUAAGAUUAGAUAAAUUAUUUUGGAGGAAGUGAUACUAUUUGAGAUAAUAUUGUUGUUUAUUGAAAGUUUAGUUUUUAUCUAUAUUGGUGAUAUAGUUAGAUUUUAAACACUUUAAUCGGUACAAGUAAUUAUUAUUGAUAGAUUAUAUUGAUAUCUGUCUAUAUAUAAAUAUGUGUAUAUAUAUAUAUAUAUAUAUAUAUAUAUAUGUUUUGAAUAUUGGUAUUUAGUUUCUUAAUUGGAUUGUGCAAAGUUAGCUAUGAAAAUAUAAUUAUUUAUGUUUCCUUAGUUAUUUCCUGGAUUCUAGAUAUAACCCUUAUUCCUCCAAUAGAUUAUUGAAUAAAUGAAUAAGAUUAUUUUUGUAUAGCAUAGUGUGAUAUUGUGGUUGAUUAUUAGCAAGAAUAAAUUAUGUUAGUAUAAACUUUAUGUUAUUAUCUAUUGUUAAUAGCUACGUGGACGUGAUCCUCUAUUGGAGGUACGUAGGCAGCCUUCGGGUGCGGUCGAAAUAUAAUAUAUGUUAAGACUUUAAUUAGCAAAUAGUAGCGAUGUAAAUUCAAGCCAUAUUAACAGAUUUUCAUGUUGAAUAAAUUACUUAUUGGAAAUUUAAUAAGUUUAAUAUGACUAAAAUAAUUAACAUACAAAUAAUUAUAUUUAUAAGAUUAUAGAAAAAAAUAAAGCCACAAAAGAAAUCACUGAAUUAGCUAAGAUAUAGGAGAACAAUUUUGAUAAAGAGACUAUGAGUGAAUUAGACCCUUAAUAUUGCCAAAACUUGACUAUAACUUAGGAUAGAAGCAUACAAAAGUACCUAAAAUGAAUAACUUGGAAAGCUUGUCAAAGGAACGAAAAUUGGCAUGCAAAUAGGUGCAAUUUGUGAUAUAAAACAACAAUUGAAAGGCAGUGUCACAGUCUAGAUACAAAACGUAAGUUGGCAUUUGAAAGGCAGUGUCGUAGUUCAGUUAUAAGGCAUAAAGGAAGUGUUGCACCUAUCCCAAAUCCUCAUUCACUAGCAGACUAAAUGAAAUUGUUUCUUGAAAAAAUAAAGAAUAGUGGCAUAAAAAUCCAAAAUUUUAUUUCUUGGCACAAUAAAUUAGGAUUUAAUAAUAUUUGGCGAUUCUUUACAAAUUUGAAUUGAAAGUGGGGGAGCAUCUGUCGGUAGCAGGCCAUAUUGUAUUUUUAUAUUACUUGAUGCUGGUCUCUACGCUACACCUUGGAUAACCAAGGCGAGGUAUUAAUCGUUGGUUAAUUAAGGUAAAAUUCUUAAAUGGUGUAGAAAAACCUAAAACGCUGUCAUCGACGCCGUCGCUCGAUGCCGAAUUUAUUUUCCCGACUUCGUCCUUCGCACAAAAAGUUGGCCUUCUCGCUUCACCACCAUUUUGGCCUCAGAAAAGGAGAUAUUGCCUUCGUGCUUUCUCCUAAUUCUAUUCACUUUUCGGUCCUUUCUUUCUAUAUCUUCUCUCUCGGUGUCGUUACCUCUCCUAAAAAAUCAAUUAUCUUUAAACUUGAGAUUCUCCACCAAAUUCAGCUGUCGAAACCUGUACUUGUGUUCGUCACGUCGAAUGCUGCUCAUACAAUUCCUAAUCUCAAAACAAUCGUACUCGACUCUCUCGAGUUUGAAUCGCUCAUGAUGAGUCUAGCUCACUGUGGAGAAAUGGAAGGAGGGAAGGUUUACCAAUUGGACCCUCGGACAAUUCUCUAUCCUCACGGACUACUGGUCGAGUUAAUGGAGUGGUUUUGGCUCAUCGAAAUUUCAGAUGCAUGGUGGCCCUAAGUCAUGCGGUUUACACGAGCUGGAUGGCAGCUGCAACUUUCUUUUUUUUUCGUUGCCUUAUUUUCAUGUUUAUGGUUUAUGUUAUUACGUGAGAGGUUUAACUAUGGGAGUGGCGGUGGUGUGCAUAGGCAGAUUUGAUAUGAAGACAAUGUUGAUAGUAAUUCAGGAGUGUAAGAUAGACAGCACCGGUGGUGGUGCUAAUAACUAAGGAUCCUAGGUUGUUAGACGGCUAAGAUUUUAGCUCUCUAGAUGUUGCAGGUUGCAGCGUUGCUACGCUUAGAAAAAGCGUAGUUGAACUGUUCCGUGAACAAUUUCGAAAUUUCACUUUAAGUGAGGUUAGUUAAACACCAAACUUGGAUUUUUACCAUUAACCGGUGGUUAAUUUCUCAUAUUGGCUAUUCAAUGUGUAGCGUAUGAUCCACCAUUAAGUAAUAAAAAAAUACAGAUGGAACGUCACGUUAGCUACCGGCAAAUGCUCCCCCACUUUCAUUUCAAAUUUGAAUUGAAUCGCUGAAUGUUUUUAAAUCCUAACUUAUUGUACUAAGUAAAAUCAUUUUAAUUAAAAUGUAAAAAUUCAUAAAGGUUUAAAUUUUUUAUGCCAUUAUCCAAAAAUAUAUUAAAUGUCAUGAAAUACAUGAUAAUAGUUAAUUGACAAAAUGAGAGAAGCACCACGGUACUUUUCCAUUUCGGUUAGUUAAAUAACCUUAUAGGGGUGUUGGAGUUAGUGGUAUUAGAGCUAACGUUUAGGCCUUUNNNNNNNNNNNNNNNNNNNNNNNNNNNNNNNNNNNNNNNNNNNNNNNNNNNNNNNNNNNNNNNNNNNNNNNNNNNNNNNNNNNNNNNNNNNNNNNNNNNNNNNNNNNNNNNNNNNNNNNNNNNNNNNNNNNNNNNNNNNNNNNNNNNNNNNNNNNNNNNNNNNNNNNNNNNNNNNNNNNNNNNNNNNNNNNNNNNNNNNNNNNNNNNNNNNNNNNNNNNNNNNNNNNNNNNNNNNNNNNNNNNNNNNNNNNNNNNNNNNNNNNNNNNNNNNNNNNNNNNNNNNNNNNNNNNNNNNNNNNNNNNNNNNNNNNNNNNNNNNNNNNNNNNNNNNNNNNNNNNNNNNNNNNNNNNNNNNNNNNNNNNNNNNNNNNNNNNNNNNNNNNNNNNNNNNNNNNNNNNNNNNNNNNNNNNNNNNNNNNNNNNNNNNNNNNNNNNNNNNNNNNNNNNNNNNNNNNNNNNNNNNNNNNNNNNNNNNNNNNNNNNNNNNNNNNNNNNNNNNNNNNNNNNNNNNNNNNNNNNNNNNNNNNNNNNNNNNNNNNNNNNNNNNNNNNNNNNNNNNNNNNNNNNNNNNNNNNNNNNNNNNNNNNNNNNNNNNNNNNNNNNNNNNNNNNNNNNNNNNNNNNNNNNNNNNNNNNNNNNNNNNNNNNNNNNNNNNNNNNNNNNNNNNNNNNNNNNNNNNNNNNNNNNNNNNNNNNNNNNNNNNNNNNNNNNNNNNNNNNNNNNNNNNNNNNNNNNNNNNNNNNNNNNNNNNNNNNNNNNNNNNNNNNNNNNNNNNNNNNNNNNNNNNNNNNNNNNNNNNNNNNNNNNNNNNNNNNNNNNNNNNNNNNNNNNNNAUUCAUCACUUGGAAGUGGAUAGAGUUGCCUUUAAGAUUAUAUUGAAGGUCUAUGUUGGAAAACCGAAUUAAUCACUGCAAUAGUUUAUUCUUUUUUCCUUUUUGGAAGCAUUUUUAUAUUUGAUAAGAUUAGAUAAAUUAUUUUGGAGGAAGUGAUAUUAUUUGAGAUAAUAUUGUUAUUUAUUCGAAGUUUAGUUUUUAUCUAUAUUGGUGAUAUAGUUAGAUUUUAAACACUUUAAUCGGUACAAGUAAUUAUUAUAGACAGGUUAUAUUGAUAUCUGUUUAUAUAUAAAUAUGUGUAUAUAUAUAUAUAUAUAUAUAUCUUUUGAAUAUUGGUAUUUAGUUUCUUAAUUGGAUUGUGCAAAGUUAGCUAUGAAAAUAUAAUUAUUUAUGUUUCCUUAGUUAUUUCCUGGAUUCUAGAUAUAACCCUUAUUCCUCCAAUAGAUUAUUGAAUAAAUGAAUAAGAUUAUUUUUGUAUAGCAUAGUGUGAUAUUGCGGUUGAUUAUUAGCAAGAAUAAAUUAUGUUAGUAUAAACUUUAUGUUAUUAUCUAUUGUUAAGAGCUACGUGGACCUGAUCUUCUAUUGGAGGUACGUAGGCAGCCUUCGGGUGCGGUCGAAAUAUAAUAUAUAUUAAGACUUUAAUUAGCAAAUAGUAGCGAUGUAAAUUCAAGCCAUAUUAACAGAUUUUCAUGUUGAAUAAAUUACUUAUUAGAAAUUUAAUAAGUUUAAUAUGACUAAAAUAAUUAACAUACAAAUAAUUAUAUUUAUAAGAUUAUAGAAAAAAAUAAAUCCACAAAAGAAAUUACUGAAUUAGCUAAGAUAUAGGAGAACAAUUUUGAUAAAGAGACUAUGAGUGAAUUAGACCUUUAAUAUUGCCAAAACUUGACUAUAACUUAGGAUAGAAGCAUACAGAAGUACCUAAAAUGAAUAACUUGGAAAGCUUGUCAAAGGAACGAAAAUUGGCAUGCGAAUAGGUGCAAUUUGUGAUAUAAAACAACAAUUUAAAGGCAGUGUCACAGUCUAGAUACAAAACGUAAGUUGGCAUUUGAAAUUGUUUCGGUCCUUUCUUUCUAUAUCUUCUCUUUCGGUGUCGUUACCUCUCCUAAAAAAUCAAUUAUCUUUAAACUUGAGAUUCUCCACCAAAUUCAGCUGUCGAAACCUGUACUUGUGUUAGUCAAGUCGAAUGCUGCUCAUACAAUUCCUAAUCUCAAAAUAAUUGUACUCGACUCUCCCGAGUUUGAAUCGCUCAUGAGUCUAGCUCACUGUGGGGAAAUGGAAGGAGGGAAGGUUUACCAAUUGGACCCUCGGACAAUUCUCUAUCCUCACGGACUACUGGUCGAGUUAACGGAGUGGUUUUGGCUCAUCGAAAUUUCAGAUGCAUGGUGGCCCUAAGUCAUGCGGUUUACACGAGCUGGAUGGCAGCUGCAACUUUCUUUUUUUUUUGUUUCCUUAUUUUCAUGUUUAUGGUUUAUGUUAUUCCGUGAGAGGUUUAACUAUGGGAGUGGCGGUGGUGUGCAUAGGUAGAUUUGAUAUGAAGACAAUGCUGAUAGUAAUUCAGGAGUGUAAGACAGACUGCACCGGUGGUGGUGCUGAUAACUAAGGAUCCUAGGUUGUUAGACGGCUAAGAUUUUAGCUCUCUAGAUGUUGCAGGUUGCAGCGUUGCUACGCUUAGAAAAAGCGUAGUUGAACUGUUCCGUGAACAAUUUCGAAAUUUCACUUUAAGUGAGGUUAGUUAAACACUAAACUUGGAUUUUUACCAUUAACCGGUGGUUAAUUUCUCAUAUUCGCUAUUCAAUGUGUAGCAUAUGAUCCACCAUUAAGUAAUAAAAAAAACAGAUGGAACGUCACGUUAGCUACCGGCAAGUGCUACCCCACUUGCAUUUCAAAUUUGAAUUCAAUUCUAAAUGUUUUUAAAUCCUAACUUAUUGUACCAAGUAAAAUCAUUUUAAUUAAAAUGCAAAAAUUCAUAAAGGUUUAAAUUUUUUAUGCCAUUAUCCAAAAAUAUAUUAAAUGUCAUGAAAUACAUGAUAAUAGUUAAUUGACAAAAUGAGAGAAGCACAACGGUACUUUUCCAUUUCAGUUAGUUAAAUAACCUUAUAAGGUAUAGAAAAAUUCUAUGAGAGCGACUAUGUACUCAAAAAACAUAAUUGUUUUUGUGUUGUUUAUCAUUAAAAAGAGGAAUUUUAUAAAUAUUAUGAUAUAAGAGAAAUGAAAAAAAGGAGAGGUAUGAGUAGGUGAAAUAGGCUAAAACAUGUUAGUGACCAAUCUUCUUGUUCACUUUUUACUGUGAUGAUUGUUUGACGUCGAAACAUAGUCUUAACCUUCGAGAGAAAUAAAUUUGAAUUAUUAUAGUAACAGAUUCAAGAGUUUUAAAGAAAGUUUAAUUAUCUAAACAUUAUGUAAGAGGGGAUUGAAGAUACAAGGAAAAUACGCACAUAAAAUAGGUGAUAGUUACGAGAUGGUAGGUGUGAUUAAGGGGUUAAUUUAUCUCAUUAAUAACAUAUUAGUUACUCUAGCUAGGAAAAAAAUACGGAAGAUUGUAGAGUCUAUCAAACUUUUAAGAACAUGACAUAAAUAGUGUAUGAAUUCCUAAUGUACUUUUUGAUAAAUAUUUCGAUUCAUCACUUGGAAGUGGAUAGAAUUGCCUUUAAGAUUAUAUUGAAGGUCUAUGUUGGAAAAUCGAAUUAAUCACUGCAAUAGAUUAUUCUUUUUUUCUUUUCAGAAGUAUUAUUAUAUUUGAUAAGAUUAGAUAAAUUAUUUUGGAGGAAGUGAUAUUAUUUGAGAUAAUAUUGUUAUUUAUUCGAAGUUUAGUUUUUAUCUAUAUUGGUGAUAUAGUUAGAUUUUUAACACUUUAAUCGGUACAAGCAAUUAUUAUUGAUAGGUUAUAUUGAUAUCUGUUUCUAUGUAAAUAUGUGUAUAUAUAUUUAUAUAUGUUUUGAAUAUUGGUAUUUAGUUUCUUAAUUGGAUUGUGCAAAGUUAGCUAUGAAAAUAUAAUUAUUUAUGUUUCCUUAGUUAUUUCCUGGAUUCUAGAUAUAACCCUUAUUCCUCCAAUAGCUUAUUGAAUAAAUGAAUAAAAUUAUUUUUGUAUAGCAUCUGUGAUAUUGUGGUUGAUUAUUAGCAAGAAUAAAUUAUGUUAGUAUAAACUUUAUGUUACUAUCUAUUGUUAAGAGCUACGUGGACCUGAUCCUCUAUUGGAGGUACGUAGGCAGCCUUCGGGUGCGGUCGAAAUAUAAUAUAUGUUAAGACUUUAAUUAGCAAAUGGUACCGAUGUAAAUUCAAGCCAUAUUAAUAGAUUUUCAUGUUGAAUAAAUUACUUAUUGGAAAUUUAAUAAGUUUAAUAUGACUAAAAUAAUUAACAUACAAAUAAUUAUAUUUAUAAGAUUAUAGAAAAAAAUAAAGCCACAAAAGAAAUCACUGAAUUAGAAAAGAUAUAGGAGAACAAUUUUGAUAAAGAGACUAUGAGUGAAUUAGACCCUUAAUAUUGCCAAAACAUUACUAUAACUUAGGAUACAAGCAUACAGAGUACCUAAAAUGAAUAACUUGGAAAGCUUGUCAAAGGAACGAAAAUUGGCAUGCGAAUAGGUGCAAUUUGUGAUAUAAAACAGCAAUUGAAAGGCAGAGUCGCAGUCUAGAUAUAGAACGUAAGUUGGCAUUUGAAAGGCAGUGCCGUAGUUCAGUUAUGAGGCAUAGACGAAUUGUCACACCUAUUCCAAAUCCUCAUUCACUAGCAGACUAAAUGAAAUUAUUGCUUGAAAAAAUAAAGAAUAAUGGCAUAAAAAUCAUUCUUGGCACAAUAAACUAGGAUUUAAAAAUAUUUAGCGAUUCUUUCCAAAUUUGAAUUGAAAAUGGGGGAGCACCUAUCGGUAGCAGGCCAUAUUGUAUUUUUUUAUUACUUGAUGCUGGACUCCACGCUACACCUUGGAUAACCAAGGCGGGGUAUUAAUCGUUGGUUAAUUAAGGUAAAAUUCUUAAAUGGUGUAGAAAAACCUAAAACGCACUCAUCGAAGCUGUCGCUCGCUACCGAAUUUAUUUUCCCGACUUCGUCCUCUGCACAAAAAGUUGGCCUUCUCGCUUCACCACUAUUUUGGCCUCAAAAAAGUAGAUAUUGCCUUUGUGCUUUCUCCUAACUCUAUUCACCUUUCAAUCCUUUAUUUCUAUAUCUUCUCUCUCGGUGUCGUUACCUCUCCUAAAAAAUCAAGUAUCUUUAAACUUGAGAUUCUCCACCAAAUUCAGCUGUCGAAACCUGUACUUGUGUUCGUCACGUCGAAUGCUGCUCAUUCAAUUCCUAAUCUCAAAACAAUCGUACUCGACUCUCCCGAGUUUGAAUCGCUGACGAUGAGUCUAGCCGGAAGGAGGGAAGGUUUACCAUUUGGACCCUAGGACAAUUCUCUAUCCUCACGGGCUAGUGGUCGAGUUAAUGGAGUUGUUUUGGCUCUUCGAAAUUUCAGAUGCUUGGUGGCCCUAAGUCAUGCGGUUUACACGAGCUGGAUGGCAGCUGCAACUUUCUUUUUUUCCGUUGCCUUAUUUUCAUGUUUAUAGUUUAUGUUAUUUCGUGAGAGUUUUAACUAUGGGAGUGGCGGUGGUGUCCAUAGGUAAAUUUGCUAUGAAGAUAAUGUUGACAGUAAUUCAAGAGUGAAAGAUAGAUUGCACCCGCGGUGGUGCUGAUAACUAAGGAUCCUAGGUUGUUAGACGGCUAAGAUUUUAGCUCUCUAGAUGUUGUAGGUUGCAGCGUUGCUUCGCUUAGGAAAAGCGUAGUUGAACUGUUCCGUGAACAAUUUCGAAAUUUGACUUUAUGUCAGGUUAGUUAAACACCAAACUUGGAUUUUUACCAUUAACCGGUGGUUAAUUUCUCAUAUUGGUUAUUCAAUGUGUAGCGUAUGAUCCACCAUUAAGUAAUAAAAAAAUACAGAUGGAACGUCACGUUAGCUACCGGCAAAUGCUCCCCCGCUUUCAUUUCAAAUUUGAAUUGAAUUGCUAAUUGUUUUUAAAUCCUAACUUAUUGUACCAAGUAAAAUCAUUUUAAUUAAAUGCAAAAAUUCAUAAAGGUUUAAAUUUUUUAUGCCAUUAUCCAAAAAUAUAUUAAAUGUCAUGAAAUACAUCAUAAUAGUUAAUUGACAAAAGGAGAGAAGCACCACAGUACUUCUCCGUUUCGGUUAGUCAAAGAACCUUAUAGGGGUGUUGGAGUUGGUGGUAUUAGAGCUAACGUUUAGGCCUUUUCUAGGUUUUAAGGAGAAGAAACAAGUAUAAGGAAAUGUGUAUACCUUAUAGGUUAAGGUCUGGAUAUAACUCUACUAUAGGCUUUUGUAAGUUGGCUAAGAAUGUUAUUUGACAUUCAACAUGUGUUAGAAGAUACAGGUGAUAGUCUAAAGUCGUGAUCGCGAUAAUCUAUUCAAUGCUACAAAUGUUUGUAUUGUAAGCUGCAGAUUGCAUUAUGGACAUUGGAGCAUUGAGUGGAAAUUGUGUGCAUCACUUUUAAGAAUCUGCUAGGAUAUAGUAGAUGCCUUAUAUCUAAUGCAGUUGUACCAUGACAAGUUUCUAACUGCUGUGAAUUGACUUCGAAUAAAAGUUUAUAUCCUUUUAGAAUAAAAUACUAGAGAUAUUAGCAAUAAGGUAUAGAGAUUUUAUAUGAGAGCGACAAUGUACUCAAAAAACAUAAUUAUUUUUGUGUUGUUUAUCAUUAAAAAGAGGAAUUUUAUAAAUAUUAUGAUAUAAGAGAAAUGAAAAAAAGGAGAGGUAUGAGUAGGUGAAAUAGGCUAGAACAUGUUAGUGACCAAUCUUCUUGUUCACUUUUUACUGUGAUGAUUGUUUGAUAUCGAAACAUAGUCUUAUCCUUCGAGAGAAAUAAAGUUGAAUUAUCAUAAUAACAGAUUCAAGAGUUUUAAAGAAAGUAUAAUUAUCUAAACAUUAUGUAAGAGGAGAUUGAAGAUACAAGGAGAAUACGCACAUAAAAUAAGUGAUAGUUAUGAGAUGGUAGGUGUGAUUAAGGGGUUAAUUUAUCUCAUUAAUGACAUAUUAGUUACUCUAGCUAGGAAAAAAAUAAGAAAGAUUGUAGAGUCUAUCCAACUUUUAAGAACAUGACAUAGAUAGUGUAUGAUUUCGUAAUGUACUUUUUGAUAAAUAUUUCGAUUCAUCACUUGGAAGUGGAUAGGGUUGCCUUUAAGAUUAUAUUGAAGGUCUAUGUUUAAAAACCGAAUUAAUCACUGCAAUAGUUUAUUCUUUUUUCCUUUUUAGAAGCAUUAUUAUAUUUGAUAAGAUUAGAUAAAUUAUUUUGGCGGAAUUGAUAUUAUUUGAGAUAAUAUUGUUGUUUAUUGGAAGUUUAGUUUUUAUCUAUAUUGAUGAUAUAGUUAGAUUUUAAACACUUUAAUCGGUACAAGUAAUUAUUAUUGAUAGGUUAUAUUGAUAUCUGUUUACAUAUAAAUAUGUGUAUAUAUAUAUAUAUAUGUUUUGAAUAUUGGUAUUUAGUUUCUUAAUACGAUUGUGCAAAGUAUAGCUAUGAAAAUAUGAAAAUAUAAUUAUUUAUGUUUCCUUAGUUAUUUACUAGAUUCCAGAUAUAACCCUUAUUCCUCCAAUAGAUUAUUGAAUAAAUGAAUAAGAUUAUUUUUGUAUAGCAUAGUGUGAUAUUGUGGUUGAUUAUUAGCAAGAAAAAAUUAUGUUAGUAUAAACUUUAUGUUAUUAUCUAUUGUUAAGAGCUACGUGGACCUGAUCCUCUAUUGGAGGUACGUAGGCAGGCUUCGGGUGCGGUCCAAAUAUAACAUAUGUUAAGAUUUUAAUCAGCAAAUAGUAGCGAUGUAAAUUCAAGCCAUAUUAAUAGAUUUUUAUUUUGAAUAAAUUACUUAUUGGAAAUUUAAUAAGUUUAAUAUGACUAAAAUAAUUAACAUAUAUAUAAUUAUAUUUAUAAGAGUAUAGAUAAAAAUAAAGCCACAAAAGAAAUCACUGAAUUAGAUAAGAUAUAGGAGAACAAUUUUCAUAAAGUGACCAUGAGUGAAUUAGACCCUUAAUAUUGCCAAAACUUGAUUAUAACUUAGGAUAGAAGCAUACAGAAGUACCUAAAAUGAAUAACUUGGAAAGCUUGUCAAAGGAACGAAAAUUGGCAUGCGAAUAGGUGCGAUUUGGGAUAUAGAACAGCAAUUGAAAGGCAGUGUCACAAUCUAGAUAUAAAACGUAAGUUGGCAUUUGAAAGGCAGUGUCGUAGUUCAGUUAUAAGGCAUAGACGAAGUGUCACACCUAUCCCAAAUCCUCAUUUACUAGCAAACUAAAUGAAAUUGUUUCUUGAAAAAAUAAAGAAUAAUGGCAUAAAAAUCCAAAAUUUUAUUUCUUGGUACAAUAAAUUAGGAUUUAAAAAUAUUUGGCGAUUCUUUACAAAUUUGAAUUGAAAGUGGGGGAGUAUCUGUCGGUAGCAGGCCAUAUUGUAUUUUUAUAUUACUUGAUGCUGGACUGUACGCUACACCAUGGAUAACCAAGGCGAGGUAUUAAUCGUUGGUUAAUUAAGGUAAAAUUCUUAAAUGGUGUAGAAAAACGUAAAACGCUCUCAUCGACGCCGUCGCUCGCUGCCGAAUUUAUUUUCCUGACUUCGUCCUUCGCACAAAAAGUUGGCCUUCUUGCUUCACCACCAUUUUGGCCUCGGAAAAGUAGAUAUUGCCUUUGUGCUUUCUGCUAACUCUAUUCAGCUUUCGGUCCUUUAUUUCUAUAUCUUCUCUCUCGGUGUCGUUACCUCGCCUAAAAAAUCAAGUAUCUUUAAACUUGAGAUUCUCCACCAAAUUCAGCUGUCGAAACCUGUACUUGUGUUCGUCAUGUCGAAUGCUGCUCAUACAAUUCAUAAUCUCAAAACAAUCGUACUUGACUCUCCCGAGUUUGAAUUGCUGACGAUGAGUCUAGCUGGAAGGAGGGAAGGUUUACCAAUUGGACCCUGGGACAAUUCUCU